RNAcentral lists this long non-coding RNA (770 nucleotides) under Lactuca sativa (garden lettuce). RNAcentral's name for it is "long non-coding RNA (LSAT_LNC006288)". Lineage: Eukaryota; Viridiplantae; Streptophyta; Magnoliopsida; Asterales; Asteraceae. The record is from RNAcentral.
UCAAUCUUCCUCUCAUCAUCAUCAAUUCAUCACCACCUUCUUCCAAUCUCUCUACACUCGCACCACAACCAGAUCUGUCAACCAUUUCACCAUUCUUCACCGCCAUUGUUAUCCUCUAAUCGACCAUGGCCAACGUGAUCAUGGCCUCCUCCAAAACCCUAAUCACAUCUCCCCCAACCCCUAAAUCCAAACACCAACCACUACCACAACCUCCCGUCUCCCUUCCCCUCAUCUCCACCACCACCAAACCCCUAAUCUCCCUCUCCCUCACUCCCAAAUCCCUCGCCGCCGCAGCCCUCGUAGCCGCCUCCGUCGCCGCGACUCCCUUCCCCUCCUUAGCAGUCGAGAUCGAAAAGGCCCAACUUUUCGACUUCGAUCUUACGCUUCCGAUCAUUGCCGCGGAGUUUCUUUUCCUCAUGUUCGCUCUCGACAAAGUAUACUACUCCCCCUUGGGGAAUUUUAUGGACGGCAGAGAUAAGGAAAUUAAAGAGAAGCUGAGCAGUGUGAAGGAUACUUCGAGUGAAGUGAAGCAAUUGGAGGAGCAGGCGGCGGCGAUUAUGAGGGCAGCGAGGGCGGAGAUAUCGGCGGCGUUGAACAAGAUGAAGAAGGAGACGGCGUUGGAGGUGGAUGCGAAGCUGGCGGAGGGGAGGAAGAAGGUGGAGGCGGAGUUGCAGGAGGCGUUGGCAAGUUUGGAGAAGCAAAAGGAAGAUACGAUCAAGUCGCUUGAUUCUCAGAUUGCGGCUCUUAGUCAGGAAAUUGUCAACAAGGUC